GAAUGCUGACAUAAGUAACGAUAAAGCGGGUGAAAAGCCCGCUCGCCGGAAGACCAAGGGUUCCUGUCCAACGUUAAUCGGGGCAGGGUGAGUCGACCCCUAAGGCGAGGCCGAAAGGCGUAGUCGAUGGGAAACAGGUUAAUAUUCCUGUACUUGGUGUUACUGCGAAGGGGGGACGGAGAAGGCUAUGUUGGCCGGGCGACGGUUGUCCCGGUUUAAGCGUGUAGGCUGGUUUUCCAGGCAAAUCCGGAAAAUCAAGGCUGAGGCGUGAUGACGAGGCACUACGGUGCUGAAGCGACAAAUGCCCUGCUUCCAGGAAAAGCCUCUAAGCAUCAGGUAACAUCAAAUCGUACCCCAAACCGACACAGGUGGUCAGGUAGAGAAUACCAAGGCGCUUGAGAGAACUCGGGUGAAGGAACUAGGCAAAAUGGUGCCGUAACUUCGGGAGAAGGCACGCUGAUAUGUAGGUGAAGCGACUUGCUCGUGGAGCUGAAAUCAGUCGAAGAUACCAGCUGGCUGCAACUGUUUAUUAAAAACACAGCACUGUGCAAACACGAAAGUGGACGUAUACGGUGUGACGCCUGCCCGGUGCCGGAAGGUUAAUUGAUGGGGUUAGCGGUAACGCGAAGCUCUUGAUCGAAGCCCCGGUAAACGGCGGCCGUAACUAUAACGGUCCUAAGGUAGCGAAAUUCCUUGUCGGGUAAGUUCCGACCUGCACGAAUGGCGUAAUGAUGGCCAGGCUGUCUCCACCCGAGACUCAGUGAAAUUGAACUCGCUGUGAAGAUGCAGUGUACCCGCGGCAAGACGGAAAGACCCCGUGAACCUUUACUAUAGCUUGACACUGAACAUUGAGCCUUGAUGUGUAGGAUAGGUGGGAGGCUUUGAAGUGUGGACGCCAGUCUGCAUGGAGCCGACCUUGAAAUACCACCCUUUAAUGUUUGAUGUUCUAACGUGGGCCCCUUACCGGGGUUGCGGACAGUGUCUGGUGGGUAGUUUGACUGGGGCGGUCUCCUCCUAAAGAGUAACGGAGGAGCACGAAGGUUGGCUAAUCCUGGUCGGACAUCAGGAGGUUAGUGCAAUGGCAUAAGCCAGCUUGACUGCGAGCGUGACGGCGCGAGCAGGUGCGAAAGCAGGUCAUAGUGAUCCGGUGGUUCUGAAUGGAAGGGCCAUCGCUCAACGGAUAAAAGGUACUCCGGGGAUAACAGGCUGAUACCGCCCAAGAGUUCAUAUCGACGGCGGUGUUUGGCACCUCGAUGUCGGCUCAUCACAUCCUGGGGCUGAAGUAGGUCCCAAGGGUAUGGCUGUUCGCCAUUUAAAGUGGUACGCGAGCUGGGUUUAGAACGUCGUGAGACAGUUCGGUCCCUAUCUGCCGUGGGCGCUGGAGAACUGAGGGGGGCUGCUCCUAGUACGAGAGGACCGGAGUGGACGCAUCACUGGUGUUCGGGUUGUCAUGCCAAUGGCACUGCCCGGUAGCUAAAUGCGGAAGAGAUAAGUGCUGAAAGCAUCUAAGCACGAAACUUGCCCCGAGAUGAGUUCUCCCUGACUCCUUGAGAGUCCUGAAGGAACGUUGAAGACGACGACGUUGAUAGGCCGGGUGUGUAAGCGCAGCGAUGCGUUGAGCUAAC
Molecule: ribosomal RNA, 1625 nt
Filed under: Escherichia coli
Lineage: Bacteria; Pseudomonadati; Pseudomonadota; Gammaproteobacteria; Enterobacterales; Enterobacteriaceae
Description: partial 23S ribosomal RNA
Rfam family: Bacterial large subunit ribosomal RNA
Source: RNAcentral